This 453-nucleotide long non-coding RNA is filed under the name Pan troglodytes (chimpanzee). RNAcentral's name for it is "lncRNA (ENSPTRG00000054375.1)". The record is from RNAcentral. Lineage: Eukaryota; Metazoa; Chordata; Mammalia; Primates; Hominidae.
UGGAAAGCGAGCAUGUGAGGAUCUCCCUGGCAUUCUCAUGCUUUCAUCUCCUCCUAGGGCAAUCCUGGAGGCUACUUCUUGAAGAUGAUGUUAUCACAAGAUGCAGAAGGAGGCUGAAGUCCUGAAUCACUGCUCGAAGGAGAGCUGUCUGUCCUGGAAAAUGAAAAUUCUAUGGCAGUACUGGCUGUGCCUGAGAAACCUCCUGCCACUCAAGCCCAGCAAGGAGUGGGAUUCAAGCAAAGACUUCAUGGAAAACAAACCAAGCUUCCACAGUUCCUAAAAGAUGUAUAGCCAGUCCAAGGGUGAGGAUGGAUGGAGAAGAAUGGACAACCAGUGUUCCAGCCCAAGUGAACAUCAUGGCUCAAGCAGCAUGGAGAAAUAUCAAAAGCCAAGGCUACAGGUACAAGCAUGGGCCAAUUCAUGCAGGACCUUGUAAGCUGCACCAAAGAACUG